GCCUCUGUAGCUCAAUGGAAGAGCAGUUCCGUCCUAAGGAAAGGGUUGGGGGUUCGAGUCCCUCCAGGGGCACC
RNAcentral lists this transfer RNA (74 nucleotides) under Clavibacter michiganensis. Its description in RNAcentral is "tRNA-Arg". It matches the Rfam family "tRNA". From Rfam's summary of the family: Transfer RNA (tRNA) molecules are approximately 80 nucleotides in length. Their secondary structure includes four short double-helical elements and three loops (D, anti-codon, and T loops). Lineage: Bacteria; Bacillati; Actinomycetota; Actinomycetes; Micrococcales; Microbacteriaceae. RNAcentral also lists the same sequence under 11 other names. The record is from RNAcentral.